UGUGAUAUUUUUUUUUGAAUCACCUCUUCCAUUCUUGGUCCCUAUUAACGCUUUCUUAUUGUGUGCCAUCACUGAAACAUACCACGUCAAGCAAGGGUGUUAAUAUCUCUGAAGUUAUCAGCCUCCGGCUUCUUUGACGGGUGACUGAUACGAUUGAGAUGUUGGUUCGUAUGUGACAUAAAGGUGUUUGUGGAUGUGACACGGACACCAGCAAUGGUAAAGAAAUAGCCACCAAUGUGUAUUUUGAUUAUCUAUCCUUCCCCUCAGGAAUUCAGUCCAUUCGCCUAUCAGAAUCUGUUAUAUCAAACGGGUUGCUGAGCAAGGGUUUCAAGCUAUUGAAGUUAAGAACUUGGUGUUGGUCGGGGUUGUGCUAUUGCUAUGCGAGCUCGGGUGAGUACUAUAAUUAUAUGUUUUACAAUAUUACUUUGAACAUAUU
This is a long non-coding RNA of Helianthus annuus (common sunflower), 436 nucleotides long. RefSeq lists it as uncharacterized. NCBI's taxonomy places the organism in Eukaryota, Viridiplantae, Streptophyta, Magnoliopsida, Asterales, Asteraceae. The record is from RefSeq and is a predicted model, not a curated record. The transcript is spliced from 5 exons.